RNAcentral lists this transfer RNA (73 nucleotides) under Xiphophorus maculatus (southern platyfish). It matches the Rfam family "tRNA". Rfam says of the family: Transfer RNA (tRNA) molecules are approximately 80 nucleotides in length. Their secondary structure includes four short double-helical elements and three loops (D, anti-codon, and T loops). Further hydrogen bonds mediate the characteristic L-shaped molecular structure. tRNAs have two regions of fundamental functional importance: the anti-codon, which is responsible for specific mRNA codon recognition, and the 3' end, to which the tRNAs corresponding amino acid is attached (by aminoacyl-tRNA synthetases). tRNAs cope with the degeneracy of the genetic code in two manners: having more than one tRNA (with a specific anti-codon) for a particular amino acid; and 'wobble' base-pairing, i.e. permitting non-standard base-pairing at the 3rd anti-codon position. The record is from Rfam by way of RNAcentral. Lineage: Eukaryota; Metazoa; Chordata; Actinopteri; Cyprinodontiformes; Poeciliidae.
UAUGCUGCAGCCUACUGGAAAAGGCAUCAGCCUCCAGAGCUGGCGGUUGUGGGUUCAAGUCCCACCUGGGUUA